CUCAGGAUGAACGCUGGCGGCGUGCUUAACACAUGCAAGUCGAACGGAGUUAGAUGAAAGCUUGCUUUGACUAAACUUAGUGGCGGACGGGUGAGUAACGCGUGGGUAACCUGCCUUAUACAGGGGGAUAACAGUCGGAAACGACUGCUAAUACCGCAUAAGCGCACGGAAUCGCAUGAUUCAGUGUGAAAAGAUUUAUCGGUAUAAGAUGGACCCGCGUCUGAUUAGCUAGUUGGUGAGGUAACGGCCCACCAAGGCGACGAUCAGUAGCCGGCCUGAGAGGGUGAACGGCCACAUUGGGACUGAGACACGGCCCAAACUCCUACGGGAGGCAGCAGUGGGGAAUAUUGCACAAUGGGGGAAACCCUGAUGCAGCGACGCCGCGUGAGUGAAGAAGUAUUUCGGUAUGUAAAGCUCUAUCAGCAGGGAAGAAAAUGACGGUACCUGACUAAGAAGCCCCGGCUAACUACGUGCCAGCCGCUGC
RNAcentral lists this ribosomal RNA (484 nucleotides) under uncultured bacterium. Its description in RNAcentral is "bacterial SSU rRNA". It matches the Rfam family "Bacterial small subunit ribosomal RNA", at positions 23 to 518 of the family's 1533-position model. The record is from RNAcentral.